GCGGGCUGCACGGCGAGAAGGGCAAAAUAAAACCAGCCCGAGAGGCCCUGGCUGGGGUUGAGACUGCAGGAGUAACUUCUGCACCGAGGCAGCGCGCAGCCAGUCGGGGAAGAACUCUGCAACCUGACCGAAAGAAAGUCCGACCCUCUCGGGAGGGCUGCCAGGAUGCUGGAGCGAGUGUCAGGGUCCGAGACUCCCAAGUCGGGCGAGGGCUCCUGCCCCUGGCCAUUGGGUACCCCCCUCCGACCAACACCCCCGUCCCGCUUCAGAGCGUCGGCCCCACAGAUGGGCAAGAUACCAAAUACUUUUCUUGGAAUACAUCAUCUUGAUUGAAA
This 335-nucleotide long non-coding RNA is filed under the name Homo sapiens (human). Its description in RNAcentral is "non-protein coding lnc-DMRTA1-5:3". Lineage: Eukaryota; Metazoa; Chordata; Mammalia; Primates; Hominidae. The record is from RNAcentral.